This 685-nucleotide ribosomal RNA is filed under the name Noanelia hartmanae. Its description in RNAcentral is "partial 28S ribosomal RNA". It matches the Rfam family "Eukaryotic large subunit ribosomal RNA", at positions 355 to 817 of the family's 3401-position model. Lineage: Eukaryota; Metazoa; Annelida; Polychaeta; Terebellida; Ampharetidae. The record is from RNAcentral.
GAGGGAAAGUUGAAAAGAACUUUGAAGAGAGAGUUCAAGAGUACGUGAAACCGCUUAUAGGUAAACGGAUGGGACCGCAAGUAUCCCCGUGGGAUUCAACCCAUCGUAGGUCCUAUUCUGGCCGUGGUGGUCAAUACCUGACUGACGGAGGGCUGCCUGGUCAAUACGAGUAUCGAUCUUCGAUGGUUGCAAUUUCCACGGGACCAACGCUAGGACCGGUUCAUGGGUGUCCAAAACUUGGGGGCAAGGUAGCUCGGCCCUUGUGGUCGAGAACUUAUAGGUCCCUCUAGUGGGCAGCAUUCGUGGACCGAGGACGUAUCCGCCGUGACAUGGGCACCUGGAUUCCGUCGAUCGAUAGCGACUUUUGUGGACUGUUCGCAGUGCGCAACAACUGCCGGUCGUCGUGGGUCUUGGAUCGCUUCCCAGGUCUACAUUAGGGUCCCUAGCUAAUCGGUCGGCACCCCAUCCGACCCGUCUUGAAACACGGACCAAGGAGUCUAACAUGUAUGCGAGUCAUAGGGUGACAAACCUAAAGGCGCAAUGAAAGUGAUCGCUUUCGAUGGGAUCCCGGUGCAAGCCGGGCGCACCGUCGGCCUGUCUCCAUCUCUCUCACGGUCCGGGUUCUUCACGGUUCUCGGCUGCGAUGUAGGGAGGAGGCAGAGUUCGAGCAUACACGUUGGGACCC